CCCUCUCCUCCCCCACCCACGCACCUGGGGCAGGAAAUCAGCUGGUGGCAACAGAGCCCCCCACACCAGAGGCUUCCUGGAACAACCCCGAGCAAGGGCACACAGCAGGAAGAGGAGACUCCAGGGCAGGGACACAAAUGCUCUCCUAAAGGGCCCAACCCGGGCGAGUCGCACAAAGUGGCAGGGAGGGCAGGGCAUUCCCUCCCCCUCUCCCAACUCUUGGAUGUCAACAUCAAGGCUGGACCAUGGCGAGGGACUCUGGUCUGGGUCCUACCCUCCCCCACUGUAAGCUCCAGCAGGCUGGCCACCCUGGAAAAGGCUCAGGCCUGCUAGACCCCAGCAGGGGCUGAUGGCAAGGGGCUAAGCUAGGGUGCCUGCAAGUCCCACCCAUGCAUACCAAAGGAAAGAGGAGAUAUGCUCCAGAACUUCAGGCCACAGUCUUUGCGGCCCAGAGUUGAAGGACUGGACUUAAAAAUCCACCAUCUAUCCCCAGAUCCUGUUAGGGAUGUGAGAAUAGGGGAGAGAAUACCAGGAAAGAGGUCACAAUCCAACCACGAGCACUGCAAAUCCAUAAGACAGGGGCCCCGGCAGCAGGGGAAGUGACUGCUUCAGUGGAAAGGAAAGCUGCAAGACAGUCUGUGGAGUCACUGCAUAGGCACAAAGGCCCUCUGCAAACCAGAGGGCAGCGGCACAGUGACCUGGCUGGCAUACUGAAACAGGCUCAGCCCAAAGCUCCAACACACAAGACAAGCUAAGCCCCUGAGAAUGCUGUGAGAGCUUCUGGGACAUGAGGCCCUGGGUGCAGCAGCCUCGGGUCUCAGAGGCUUCCCUGUCCCAGCCUGGCGGCCAGAGGUCAGAGCAGCUCGCUCGCCUCGCUAGUGCUGGCAUCACACUCAAAGGUACAGGUGAAAACAUGGUUCUUUCUCAUCAUCAGCCCCAGUCAUGGACCUCGCCUCCUCCACCGGGCUGGUAUGACCUCUGCCUGUAAUCUUUCAGUCCUCCUGCCCAGCCAAGCUACCAAGGUGGGGUGUCCGCCAGAACCACUGGGGCCAGGCAAUAUGAUGACAGCAACAGUCCAGGCUGCAGUAAUGUCUUUUGGAAAGGUCAGCCUGUGGCAGCUAUGCUCAUGGAAACUCAAGGAAGGUGUUUGCAUCCAUGCUUCUACCAGAAGACUAAAAGGAAGCCAUGUCCUCCCACCCAGCCCUCCAGAGUGAAGGGUCUCGCUCUGUCGCUCAGGCUGGAGUGCA
RNAcentral lists this long non-coding RNA (1247 nucleotides) under Homo sapiens (human). Its description in RNAcentral is "HSALNT0386730". Lineage: Eukaryota; Metazoa; Chordata; Mammalia; Primates; Hominidae. The record is from RNAcentral.